This is a long non-coding RNA of Drosophila pseudoobscura, 1330 nucleotides long. RefSeq lists it as uncharacterized. The transcript is spliced from 3 exons. The record is from RefSeq and is a predicted model, not a curated record. Lineage: Eukaryota; Metazoa; Arthropoda; Insecta; Diptera; Drosophilidae.
UUCGGGUUUUUUGAAUAAUAUAAUGAACACUAUUCGUAGUUAUGAGUUGUUAUAAACCGCAAGGCUAACACCGAAAGAUGUAAUGUAAUGUAAAAAUGAAAAUCGUGUAUAUCGCCGUUGAAUUUAAUGUUUGUUCAUCCAGACUCCCCCCGUGCACCAAAAUAGAGGAAAAGCAAAGAGAAUAUCAAUGUCAAUGUUUGUCACGGGCCUAAUGAGAGAGGAUGAAAAUAAUACUUUUAUUGUUCAUUAUUUUGCUGGAUGCUGAGGAAGCAAAAGACCUUCAAUGGCCUGCUCGAUGUGGGUGCUCGAUUCAAGUCAUCGAUGGUUACGUGACUGCUGAUUGCUCAGAUCAGCCAAGUGUGGACUUUGAAUGUUUGGCAGCGUGGAGGCCAAAUGCCCUGAAUCUCUCAGGAAAUGGCUUGCAAGAAGUCCCAUCAUCCCUGAAUGAAACAGGGUUUGAGAACGUAAUGCACCUCGAUUUGUCCAAUAACAAGAUUGAAAGACUCUCCAGCUGGAGCUUCGGAUCAAUGCUAGGCCUGAUAAGCAUAGACCUUAGCGGAAACAAGCUUACUGACCUGCCCAGAUCUGUUGCAAAAAUAGAUCUGGUUGAUGUGAGCCACAACAAUCUGACCGAUAUUCACAGCAUAAUUGGCCUUGUUAACACUCAGGCAAUAGUAAAAGGAAACCCAAUCAGGUGCAGCUGCCGCUCUCCGAUUGUGAAGAGGAUCCAUGAAACGGAAAGGAAUGUUAGUCUGGAUUGCAUAUUUGGCGACUCGGAAGUUCCACAGCCCCAACCAACGCAGUGCCGAGAUCAAAUUAUCGAAAAUGAACCACUUCUUGGUUCUUGGAAGUUGUGUAUAUUCUUGGUGAUAGGUACUUCAACAAUUGUUGUGGCUGUCGUUAUUUUGGGGUGCCGUAGUUUCAACGUUAACUGCGACUAGCUGUGCUAAUUUGAGAAGGAAGCCACGUCGGUGUGGUUUUGAGAGCAACGUGCUUACAUGUCAAAAUUGGAUAGCUGUUGAUCAUCAUGUAUCAUCAAUAUGUAUUAACCUAAGCAAUCGUCAGAUCUUUUGAUAUGCCUCUGAUAUCCUUGCUAUACACGGAGCAGAACGGCGCAGAAUUGUCCUAAACUAAAUGUCAUCAAGCAUCAUUGUUUGUUUUUCUGCUUUUGCCUGUUUUGUAAUCUCUCCCCGCUAAAGCUUGCGCUCUGGUUAGCUUUGACGCUCUUGAGUUUGAUCUCAACUUUCGGCUGCUGUUUCUGCCGGGCCGCGCUGAUGGAGCUGUUGCAGCUACGACAAACACACAAUAAAAAUUUAGCAUAUUUAAAGAA